UGAUCCUGUGCCGGUUGACUUCAGUGCUGUCGAGGUCAUUCAGUGCCUCAUAGAACAUCAUAAUGAAAUUUUUACUGAUGCUAAUGAAACAAUUUGGAGAUAAAUCAGCAGCACCUAUUUCCUCAGGCGCCAAUUAUUCUUGGAUGAAUUCUGAUACAAGUCUAUCUCUUAGAGGAAGAUUUAUAUCCGAGAGUUGUUUUCUUAGUUCAAUUGACCAGGUAGGUAAAUUAAACUUGAA
This 238-nucleotide unclassified non-coding RNA is filed under the name Hevea brasiliensis (rubber tree). The record is from RNAcentral. Lineage: Eukaryota; Viridiplantae; Streptophyta; Magnoliopsida; Malpighiales; Euphorbiaceae.